Molecule: long non-coding RNA, 330 nt
Organism: Dipodomys ordii (Ord's kangaroo rat)
Lineage: Eukaryota; Metazoa; Chordata; Mammalia; Rodentia; Heteromyidae
Exons: 3
Source: RefSeq, a predicted model, not a curated record
CCCUCAACCUGAGUCUCUCCCUGCCAGACGAGCUCUUCCAGAAAGUGGCGGAGGAUUACGUCAGCGUGGCCGGCUUCCAGGUGAUGACAGAGGACAAGGGCGUGGAUCUGGCGCAGAAGGCGAACCCCUACUUCUACAGCUGCUGCCACCACUGAGUCAGCCACCCGGUGCGCGGCCUGGGGAGUGAGGGCGCGCGCCCUGCGGGGCCACCCCGGGUCUCCCCGGCGGCGCUGGCCCGGGGCGGGCGGCCCGGGCUGCCCGGGGCCCAGCUCUGCGUCCACAGACUAUUUAAGUGGCUUCUGAUCUGUAAAUAAAAUCAGUGCACUGUGA